GGCCCAGUGGGGCGUGCUAUACUGCAAGUCGAGCGGACAGAAGGGAGCUUGCUCCCGGAUGUUAGCGGCGGACGGGUGAGUAACACGUGGGUAACCUGCCUGUAAGACUGGGAUAACUCCGGGAAACCGGAGCUAAUACCGGAUAGUUCCUUGAACCGCAUGGUUCAAGGAUGAAAGACGGUUUCGGCUGUCACUUACAGAUGGACCCGCGGCGCAUUAGCUAGUUGGUGAGGUAACGGCUCACCAAGGCGACGAUGCGUAGCCGACCUGAGAGGGUGAUCGGCCACACUGGGACUGAGACACGGCCCAGACUCCUACGGGAGGCAGCAGUAGGGAAUCUUCCGCAAUGGACGAAAGUCUGACGGAGCAACGCCGCGUGAGUGAUGAAGGUUUUCGGAUCGUAAAGCUCUGUUGUUAGGGAAGAACAAGUGCAAGAGUAACUGCUUGCACCUUGACGGUACCUAACCAGAAAGCCACGGCUAACUACGUGCCAGCAGCCGCGGUAAUACGUAGGUGGCAAGCGUUGUCCGGAAUUAUUGGGCGUAAAGGGCUCGCAGGCGGUUUCUUAAGUCUGAUGUGAAAGCCCCCGGCUCAACCGGGGAGGGUCAUUGGAAACUGGGAAACUUGAGUGCAGAAGAGGAGAGUGGAAUUCCACGUGUAGCGGGUGAAAUGCGUAGAGAUGU
RNAcentral lists this ribosomal RNA (683 nucleotides) under Bacillus aerophilus. RNAcentral's name for it is "bacterial SSU rRNA". It matches the Rfam family "Bacterial small subunit ribosomal RNA", at positions 26 to 699 of the family's 1533-position model. Lineage: Bacteria; Bacillati; Bacillota; Bacilli; Caryophanales; Bacillaceae. The record is from RNAcentral.